CCAGGAUGCAACAAAUCCCCUCCCCCCUUGGGAAACAGUGACUUCAGUUGAGAGAAAGUUCAAUGAUGCAAUAAUGUAAAAUGAGCUCCUUGUUCUGGGUCCCUCAUUUUCUCAUAUCGCAAACCCUAGGCUGCUGGCAAAUAGUGACUGAAGGAAUCAUCUAGUGGAUUAAAGAAGUACAUGAAAGAUAAUGUCCCACUGUCCUUCAGCUUUUAUCGUUUUUGAAGAUUAACAAGGGCUCAUGUCAUCCUCACUUAAGGACACAAGCUGGUGACCUUCACUAUCUACUUAUCAUCCUGACAAGGGGAAAAGAGAAACAUGAGCAAAACAUGUGGCCUCACUUAAAUUCAAGAGGAUAAGGAAGUGUACCCAUUCAAUUUGCCCAGAAGGAAGAGAACUAAGAUAUAUGUGAAUGAACCUGAAGGCUACUAUGAUGUCAUGUCAUACAGAUUUUUUCACUUUCACAAAAUCAAAUCAGUCAAUUUAUUUCCUCUAUGUGUUGUAUCUUGUAUUAAAAGAACUUCUCCAAGAUGAUAAGA
Molecule: long non-coding RNA, 539 nt
Organism: Canis lupus familiaris (dog)
Lineage: Eukaryota; Metazoa; Chordata; Mammalia; Carnivora; Canidae
Exons: 4
Source: RefSeq, a predicted model, not a curated record